RNAcentral lists this ribosomal RNA (201 nucleotides) under Lentinula edodes (shiitake mushroom). Its description in RNAcentral is "partial small subunit ribosomal RNA". It matches the Rfam family "Bacterial small subunit ribosomal RNA", at positions 635 to 831 of the family's 1533-position model. Lineage: Eukaryota; Fungi; Basidiomycota; Agaricomycetes; Agaricales; Omphalotaceae. The record is from RNAcentral.
UUUAAGAUAGAAUCAAAUUGAGGAUAAGCCGAAUAAUGCUUAGAGUAGGGAUUAAAUCCUUAGAUACUAGGUGGAAUACUAAUGGUGAAAGCUUUUUAUCUAAUAAUGAUCGACGCUGAGGAACGAAGGUGAGAAUAGAAAAUAGGAUUAGAGACCCAGAUAUCUCUCACUGUCAACGAUGAAUGGUGGAAAGUUAGUUUU